AGAAGUAUGACACUCACAGUGAAAGCACAAAACAUCAAGCCAACAGUUCAGGACUAGUCAUUCAAAUGGACUAAAGGUGGGGGAGAAAAAAUAAGAGUGGAUAAAAGAAAGAAAGAAAACAGAGAAAGGUGGGAAAAAAAAAACAAAGGAAGGAAGAGAGAAAAGAGAAUGAGAGGAAGAGAAGGAAGGGGAAAAACAAGAUUGACUUUACAGUAUGAGAUAUACUAUUAUAUAUUGGACCCUUGG
RNAcentral lists this long non-coding RNA (246 nucleotides) under Homo sapiens (human). Its description in RNAcentral is "non-protein coding lnc-CADM2-3:11". Lineage: Eukaryota; Metazoa; Chordata; Mammalia; Primates; Hominidae. The record is from RNAcentral.